This 200-nucleotide ribosomal RNA is filed under the name uncultured bacterium. Its description in RNAcentral is "partial 16S ribosomal RNA". It matches the Rfam family "Bacterial small subunit ribosomal RNA", at positions 524 to 723 of the family's 1533-position model. The record is from RNAcentral.
UACGAAGGGUGCAAGCGUUACUCGGAAUUACUGGGCGUAAAGCGUGCGUAGGUGGUUUGUUAAGUCUGUUGUGAAAGCCCCGGGCUCAACCUGGGAAUGGCAAUGGAUACUGGCAGGCUAGAGUGCGGUAGAGGGUAGUGGAAUUCCCGGUGUAGCGGUGAAAUGCGUAGAGAUCGGGAGGAACACCAGUGGCGAAGGCG